This 520-nucleotide ribosomal RNA is filed under the name uncultured Glomus. RNAcentral describes it as "SSU rRNA". It matches the Rfam family "Eukaryotic small subunit ribosomal RNA", at positions 569 to 1091 of the family's 1831-position model. Lineage: Eukaryota; Fungi; Glomeromycota; Glomeromycetes; Glomerales; Glomeraceae. The record is from RNAcentral.
AGCAGCCGCGGUAAUUCCAGCUCCAAUAGCGUAUAUUAAAGUUGUUGCAGUUAAAAAGCUCGUAGUUGAAUUUCGGGGUUAGUAGAUUGGUCAUGCCUUUGGUAUGUACUGGUCUUACUGAUUCCUCCUUCCUGAUGAACCGUAAUGCCAUUAAUUUGGUGUUGCGGGGAGACUGGACUGUUACUUUGAAAAAAUUAGAGUGUUUAAAGCAGGCUAACGCUUGAAUACAUUAGCAUGGAAUAAUGAAAUAGGACGUUCGAUCUUAUUUUGUUGGUUUCUAGGAUUGACGUAAUGAUUAAUAGGGAUAGUUGGGGGCAUUAGUAUUCAAUUGUCAGAGGUGAAAUUCUUGGAUUUAUUGAAGACUAACUACUGCGAAAGCAUUUGCCAAGGAUGUUUUCAUUAAUCAAGAACGAAAGUUAGGGGAUCGAAGACGAUCAGAUACCGUCGUAGUCUUAACCAUAAACUAUGCCGACUAGGGAUCGGAUGAUGUUAAUUUUUAAUGACUCAUUCGGCGCCUUAC